CCUACGGGAGGCAGCAGUGAGGGAUAUUGGUCAAUGGGGGAAACCCUGAACCAGCAAAGCCGCGUGAGGGAAGACGGUUUUCGGAUUGUAAACCUCUGUUCUCUGGGAAGAUAAUGACGGUAGCAGUGGAGGAAGCUCCGGCUAACUACGUGCCAGCAGCCGCGGUAACACGUAGGGCGCGAGAGUUGUCCGGAUUUACUGGGUGUAAAGGGUGCGUAGGCGGCUCUGCAAGUCAGAAGUGAAAUUGAUGGGGUUAAACCGUGAACUGCGGUUGAAACUGCAGGACUUGAGUGGAGGAGAGGUAGGCGGAAUGCGCGGGGUAGCGGUGAAAUGCGUAGAGAUCACGAAGAACACCGAUGGCGAAGGCAGCCUACUGG
This 377-nucleotide ribosomal RNA is filed under the name uncultured bacterium. RNAcentral describes it as "partial 16S ribosomal RNA". It matches the Rfam family "Bacterial small subunit ribosomal RNA", at positions 338 to 732 of the family's 1533-position model. The record is from RNAcentral.